GCUGACAUAGCUCAGUGGCAGAGCGUCGACCUGUGGAAGACAAAGAGGAAGUUGGGCUCCUUUGUCCGCAGAAUAGUUGAAGGUCGUGUGUUCGAUACUCACUGACGGCA
This is a non-coding RNA of Knufia fluminis, 110 nucleotides long. NCBI's taxonomy places the organism in Eukaryota, Fungi, Ascomycota, Eurotiomycetes, Chaetothyriales, Trichomeriaceae. The record is from the annotation of a GenBank genome assembly.